AGCAGCCGCGGUAAUUCCGGCUCCAAUAGCGUAUAUUAAAGUUGUUGCAGUUAAAAAGCUCGUAGUUGAAUUUCGGGAUCGACGGGUCGGUCGCGCCUCUGGUGUGUACUGGCCCUGUCGGUUUCUCCCUUCUGACGAACCACGAUGUUAUUAAUUUGGUGUCGUGGGAAAUCAGGACUGUUACUUUGAAAAAAUUAGAGUGUUUAAAGCAGGCAUUCGCUUGAAUACAUUAGCAUGGAAUAAUGAAAUAGGACGUUUGAUCUUAUUUUGUUGGUUUCUAAGAUCGACGUAAUGAUUAAUAGGGAUAGUUGGGGGCAUUAGUAUUCAAUUGUCAGAGGUGAAAUUCUUGGAUUUAUUGAAGACUAACUACUGCGAAAGCAUUUGCCAAGGAUGUUUUCAUUAAUCAAGAACGAAAGUUAGGGGAUCGAAGACGAUCAGAUACCGUCGUAGUCUUAACCAUAAACUAUGCCGACUAGGGAUCGGAUGAUGUUAAUUUUUAAUGACUC
This 506-nucleotide ribosomal RNA is filed under the name uncultured Glomus. Its description in RNAcentral is "SSU rRNA". It matches the Rfam family "Eukaryotic small subunit ribosomal RNA", at positions 569 to 1077 of the family's 1831-position model. The record is from RNAcentral. Lineage: Eukaryota; Fungi; Glomeromycota; Glomeromycetes; Glomerales; Glomeraceae.